This 668-nucleotide ribosomal RNA is filed under the name Escherichia coli. RNAcentral's name for it is "partial 23S ribosomal RNA". It matches the Rfam family "Bacterial large subunit ribosomal RNA", at positions 2131 to 2798 of the family's 2925-position model. The record is from RNAcentral. Lineage: Bacteria; Pseudomonadati; Pseudomonadota; Gammaproteobacteria; Enterobacterales; Enterobacteriaceae.
UUGAUGUGUAGGAUAGGUGGGAGGCUUUGAAGUGUGGACGCCAGUCUGCAUGGAGCCGACCUUGAAAUACCACCCUUUAAUGUUUGAUGUUCUAACGUUGACCCGUAAUCCGGGUUGCGGACAGUGUCUGGUGGGUAGUUUGACUGGGGCGGUCUCCUCCUAAAGAGUAACGGAGGAGCACGAAGGUUGGCUAAUCCUGGUCGGACAUCAGGAGGUUAGUGCAAUGGCAUAAGCCAGCUUGACUGCGAGCGUGACGGCGCGAGCAGGUGCGAAAGCAGGUCAUAGUGAUCCGGUGGUUCUGAAUGGAAGGGCCAUCGCUCAACGGAUAAAAGGUACUCCGGGGAUAACAGGCUGAUACCGCCCAAGAGUUCAUAUCGACGGCGGUGUUUGGCACCUCGAUGUCGGCUCAUCACAUCCUGGGGCUGAAGUAGGUCCCAAGGGUAUGGCUGUUCGCCAUUUAAAGUGGUACGCGAGCUGGGUUUAGAACGUCGUGAGACAGUUCGGUCCCUAUCUGCCGUGGGCGCUGGAGAACUGAGGGGGGCUGCUCCUAGUACGAGAGGACCGGAGUGGACGCAUCACUGGUGUUCGGGUUGUCAUGCCAAUGGCACUGCCCGGUAGCUAAAUGCGGAAGAGAUAAGUGCUGAAAGCAUCUAAGCACGAAACUUGCC